GACGAACGCUGGCGGCGUGCUUAACACAUGCGAGUCGAACGGUGAAGGGACCGGUUUUUGCUGGUUCUGGAUGAGUGGCGAACGGGUGAGUAACACGUGAGUAACCUGCCCCCUUCUUCUGGAUAACCGCAUGAAAGUGUGGCUAAUACGGGAUAUUCUGCGCCUGCUGCAUGGUGGGUGUGGGAAAGGUAUUGUUUCGGUGGGGGAUGGGCUCGCGGCCUAUCAGCUUGUUGGUGGGGUGAUGGCCUACCAAGGCGGUGACGGGUAGCCGGCCUGAGAGGGUGGACGGUCACACUGGGACUGAGACACGGCCCAGACUCCUACGGGAGGCAGCAGUGGGGAAUAGUGCACAAUGGGCGCAAGCCUGAUGCAGCGACGCCGCGUGAGGGAUGGAGGCCUUCGGGUUGUAAACCUCUUUCGCCAGUGAAGCAGGCCUGUCCCUUUUGUGGGUGGGUUGACGGUAGCUGGAUAAGAAGCGCCGGCUAACUACGUG
This 493-nucleotide ribosomal RNA is filed under the name uncultured bacterium. Its description in RNAcentral is "partial 16S ribosomal RNA". It matches the Rfam family "Bacterial small subunit ribosomal RNA", at positions 28 to 507 of the family's 1533-position model. The record is from RNAcentral.